CCUACGGGAGGCAGCAGUGAGGAAUAUUGGUCAAUGGGCGGAAGCCUGAACCAGCCAAGUCGCGUGAGGGAGUAAGGCCCUACGGGUCGUAAACUUCUUUUGCCGGGGAGCAGUGCCCAGCUCGUGAGCUGUGUGGGAGCGUCCCCGGAGAAAAAGCAUCGGCUAACUCCGUGCCAGCAGCCGCGGUAAUACGGAGGAUGGGAGCGUUAUCGGAUUUUAUUGGGUUUAAGGGGUGCGAAGGCGGGCCUUCAGGCCGGCGGUAAAUUUGCGGGGCUAAACCCCGCCUAGCCGUCGGAACCGGGUGGCUUGAGUACCGGAGAAGUACGCGGAAUGCGUGGUGUAGCGGUGAAAUGCAUAGAGAUCACGCAGAACUCCGAUUGCGAAGGCAGCAUACCGGCGCCCGACUGACGCUGAGGCACGAAAGCGUGGGGAUCGAACAGGAUUAGAUACCCCUGUAGUC
This 460-nucleotide ribosomal RNA is filed under the name uncultured bacterium. RNAcentral describes it as "partial 16S ribosomal RNA". It matches the Rfam family "Bacterial small subunit ribosomal RNA", at positions 338 to 795 of the family's 1533-position model. The record is from RNAcentral.